Molecule: ribosomal RNA, 251 nt
Filed under: Haemopis grandis
Lineage: Eukaryota; Metazoa; Annelida; Clitellata; Hirudinida; Haemopidae
Description: partial 28S ribosomal RNA
Rfam family: Eukaryotic large subunit ribosomal RNA
Source: RNAcentral
CGUGCGCGAGUCGCAGGGUUGUACGAAACCCGAGGGCGUAACGAAAGUGAAACUGAUCUUCGGAUCAACAGGUGGGAUCCCGAAGCACACGUGCGACGGGCGCACCACCGGCCUGUCUCAGCCGCCACGUCGGCGAGGCGGAGCAAGAGCGUACGCGUUGGGACCCGAAAGAUGGUGAACUAUGCCUGAGCAGGAUGAAGCCAGAAGAAAUUCUGGUGGAAGUCCGCAGCGAUUCUGACGUGCAAAUCGAU